GAUGAACGCUGGCGGCGUGCCUAAUACAUGCAAGUAGAACGCUGAAGCUUGGUGCUUGCACCGGGCGGAUGAGUUGCGAACGGGUGAGUAACGCGUAGGUAACCUGCCUGGUAGCGGGGGAUAACUAUUGGAAACGAUAGCUAAUACCGCAUGACAACAGUUAUUGCAUGAUAACUGUUUAAAAGGGGCAACUGCUCCACUACCAGAUGGACCUGCGUUGUAUUAGCUAGUUGGUGAGGUAACGGCUCACCAAGGCGACGAUACAUAGCCGACCUGAGAGGGUGAUCGGCCACACUGGGACUGAGACACGGCCCAGACUCCUACGGGAGGCAGCAGUAGGGAAUCUUCGGCAAUGGACGGAAGUCUGACCGAGCAACGCCGCGUGAGUGAAGAAGGUUUUCGGAUCGUAAAGCUCUGUUGUAAGAGAAGAACGAGUGUGAGAGUGGAAAGUUCACACUGUGACGGUAUCUUACCAGAAAGGGACGGCUAACUACGUGCCAGCAGCCGCGGUAAUACGUAGGUCCCGAGCGUUAUCCGGAUUUAUUGGGCGUAAAGCGAGCGCAGGCGGUUAGAUAAGUCUGAAGUUAAAGGCUGUGGCUUAACCAUAGUACGCUUUGGAAACUGUUUAACUUGAGUGCAAGAGGGGAGAGUGGAAUUCCAUGUGUAGCGGUGAAAUGCGUAGAUAUAUGGAGGAACACCGGUGGCGAAAGCGGCUCUCUGGCUUGUAACUGACGCUGAGGCUCGAAAGCGUGGGGAGCAAACAGG
RNAcentral lists this ribosomal RNA (765 nucleotides) under uncultured Streptococcus sp. RNAcentral describes it as "bacterial SSU rRNA". It matches the Rfam family "Bacterial small subunit ribosomal RNA", at positions 28 to 776 of the family's 1533-position model. The record is from RNAcentral. Lineage: Bacteria; Bacillati; Bacillota; Bacilli; Lactobacillales; Streptococcaceae.